GUGAGUAACGCGUGGGAACGUGCCCUUUGGUUCGGAAUAGCCCCGGGAAACUGGGAGUAAUACCGGAUAAGCCCUACGGGGGAAAGAUUUAUCGCCAAAGGAUCGGCCCGCGUUGGAUUAGGUAGUUGGUGGGGUAAUGGCCUACCAAGCCGACGAUCCAUAGCUGGUUUGAGAGGAUGAUCAGCCACACUGGGACUGAGACACGGCCCAGACUCCUACGGGAGGCAGCAGUGGGGAAUCUUAGACAAUGGGGGAAACCCUGAUCUAGCCAUGCCGCGUGAGCGAUGAAGGCCUUAGGGUUGUAAAGCUCUUUCAGUGGGGAAGAUAAUGACUGUACCCACAGAAGAAGCCCCGGCUAACUCCGUGCCAGCAGCCGCGGUAAUACGGAGGGGGCUAGCGUUGUUCGGAAUUACUGGGCGUAAAGCGCACGUAGGCGGAUCAGAAAGUCAGAGGUGAAAUCCCAGGGCUCAACCUUGGAACUGCCUUUGAAACUCCUGAUCUUGAGGUCGAGAGAGGUGAGUGGAAUUCCGAGUGUAGAGGUGAAAUUCGUA
Molecule: ribosomal RNA, 551 nt
Filed under: Gemmobacter lanyuensis
Lineage: Bacteria; Pseudomonadati; Pseudomonadota; Alphaproteobacteria; Rhodobacterales; Paracoccaceae
Description: bacterial SSU rRNA
Rfam family: Bacterial small subunit ribosomal RNA
Source: RNAcentral